RNAcentral lists this ribosomal RNA (858 nucleotides) under Halomonas sp. K4-28L-022. RNAcentral's name for it is "bacterial SSU rRNA". It matches the Rfam family "Bacterial small subunit ribosomal RNA", at positions 48 to 903 of the family's 1533-position model. The record is from RNAcentral. Lineage: Bacteria; Pseudomonadati; Pseudomonadota; Gammaproteobacteria; Oceanospirillales; Halomonadaceae.
CUAACACAUGCAAGUCGAGCGGUAACAGGGGUAGCUUGCUACCCGCUGACAAGCGGCGGACGGGUGAGUAAUGCAUAGGAAUCUGCCCGGUAGUGGGGGAUAACCUGGGGAAACCCAGGCUAAUACCGCAUACGUCCUACGGGAGAAAGGGGGCUCCGGCUCCCGCUAUUGGAUGAGCCUAUGUCGGAUUAGCUAGUUGGUGAGGUAAUGGCUCACCAAGGCGACGAUCCGUAGCUGGUCUGAGAGGAUGAUCAGCCACAUCGGGACUGAGACACGGCCCGAACUCCUACGGGAGGCAGCAGUGGGGAAUAUUGGACAAUGGGCGAAAGCCUGAUCCAGCCAUGCCGCGUGUGUGAAGAAGGCCCUCGGGUUGUAAAGCACUUUCAGCGAGGAAGAACGCCUAGUGGUUAAUACCCACUAGGAAAGACAUCACUCGCAGAAGAAGCACCGGCUAACUCCGUGCCAGCAGCCGCGGUAAUACGGAGGGUGCAAGCGUUAAUCGGAAUUACUGGGCGUAAAGCGCGCGUAGGUGGCUUGAUAAGCCGGUUGUGAAAGCCCCGGGCUCAACCUGGGAACGGCAUCCGGAACUGUCAAGCUAGAGUGCAGGAGAGGAAGGUAGAAUUCCCGGUGUAGCGGUGAAAUGCGUAGAGAUCGGGAGGAAUACCAGUGGCGAAGGCGGCCUUCUGGACUGACACUGACACUGAGGUGCGAAAGCGUGGGUAGCAAACAGGAUUAGAUACCCUGGUAGUCCACGCCGUAAACGAUGUCGACCAGCCGUUGGGUGCCUAGCGCACUUUGUGGCGAAGUUAACGCGAUAAGUCGACCGCCUGGGGAGUACGGCCGCAAGGUUAAAACUCA